Bos taurus (domestic cattle) is the source of this 306-nucleotide long non-coding RNA. The record is from Ensembl. NCBI's taxonomy places the organism in Eukaryota, Metazoa, Chordata, Mammalia, Artiodactyla, Bovidae.
CCACAAACCAAUGGAGAACUAUUUCAGAUUUAACCUACUCGACCUGUUUCAACCAGAACUGGUUUCUCUUGCAGUCAGGUAGGAGAUAAAAGGAAGAAGUGGAUGCAAAAGGCAUCUAUGACUUUCCCGGGGAGUGACUUGAAACAGGUGAUGAAAAGGUAUCAUGAGUGAGAAGACAGAUUAAAGAAUUGAAACAAGAGAGAAGGUCAUCCCUGGUGGUCCAGUGGCUAAGACUCUGUGCUCCCAAUGCAGGGUCCUGGGUUCAGUCCCUGGCCAGGUAACGAAGAUCCCACAAGCUGCAUGGCG